RNAcentral lists this ribosomal RNA (497 nucleotides) under uncultured bacterium. RNAcentral describes it as "partial 16S ribosomal RNA". It matches the Rfam family "Bacterial small subunit ribosomal RNA", at positions 28 to 507 of the family's 1533-position model. The record is from RNAcentral.
GAUGAACGCUGGCGGCGUGCCUAAUACAUGCAAGUCGAGCGAACGGACGAGAAUCUUGCUUGUCUGAUGUUAGCGGCGCACGGGUGAGUAACGCGUGGAUAACCUACCUAAAAGACUGGGAUAUCUUCGGGACACCGGAGCUAAUACCGGAUGAUCUUUUGAUCCGCGUGGGUCAAUAGUGAAAGACGGUGUUGCUGUCUCUUCUAGAUGCUUCCCGGCUGCAUUAGCUAGUUGGUAAGUUAACGGCCUACGAAGGCAACGAUGCAUAGCCGACCUGAUAGAGUGAUCGGCCACACUGGAACUGGGACACGGUCAAGACUCCUACGAGACGCAGCAGUAGCGAAUCGUCCGCAGUGGGCGAAAGCCUGACGGAACAACGCCACGUGAGUUAUGGAAGUCUUCGGAGCGUAAAACUCUGUUACUAGGGAUGAACAGAUGUGGAAGUAACUGUGCACAUCGUGACGGUAACUAAUCAGAAAGCCACGGCUAACUACGUG